AUUGAACGCUGGCGGCAUGCCUUACACAUGCAAGUCGAACGGCAGCACGGGUGCUUGCCCCUGGUGGCGAGUGGCGAACGGGUGAGUAUUACAUCGGAACAUGUCCUGUAGAGGGGUGUAGCCCGGCGAAAGCCGGAUUAAUACCGCAUACGAUCUACGGAUGAAAGCGGGGGACCUUCGGGCCUCGGGCUUUCGGUUUGGCCGAUGGCGGAUUAGCUAGUUGGUGGGGUAAAGGCCUACCAAGGCGACGAUCAGUAGCUGGUCUGAGAGGACGACCAGCCACACUGGGACUGAGACACGGCCCAGACUCCUACGGGAGGCAGCAGUGGGGAAUUUUGGACAAAGGGCGAAAGCCUGAUCCAGCAAUGCCGCGUGUGUGAAGAAGGCCUUCGGGUUGUAAAGCACUUUUGUCCGGAAAGAAAUCCUUGGCCCUAAUACGGUCGGGGGAUGACGGUACCGGAAGAAUAAGCACCGGCUAACUACGUG
Molecule: ribosomal RNA, 486 nt
Filed under: uncultured bacterium
Lineage: Bacteria
Description: partial 16S ribosomal RNA
Rfam family: Bacterial small subunit ribosomal RNA
Source: RNAcentral